UAAUACGGAGGUGGCAAGCGUUACUCGGAUUCAUUGGGUGUAAAGGGCAAGUAGGCGGUCUAUUAAGUGAGGGGUGAAAUCUUCCGACUCAAUCGGGAAACUGCCUUUCAAACUGAUAGACUUGAGGGUGGAAGAGGAAAAUGGAAUUCUCGGUGUAAGGGUGAAAUCUGUAGAUAUCGAGAAGAACACCAGCGGCGAAGGCGAUUUUCUGGUCCACUCCUGACGCUAAAUUGCGAAAGCUAGGGGAGCAAACAGAAUUAGAUACUCUGGUAGUCCUAGCCGUAAACGAUGAGCACUAGGUGUUGGCCCUUUACGGGGUCAGUGCCGCAGCUAACGCAUUAAGUGCUCCACCUGGGGACUACGGUCGCAAGGCUA
Molecule: ribosomal RNA, 375 nt
Filed under: uncultured bacterium
Lineage: Bacteria
Description: bacterial SSU rRNA
Rfam family: Bacterial small subunit ribosomal RNA
Source: RNAcentral